GCCCCAGUAGCUCAAACGGAUAGAGCGUCGGACUUCUAAUCCGAGGGUUGCAGAUUCGAGUUCUGCCUGGGGCG
Molecule: transfer RNA, 74 nt
Filed under: Anaerolineae bacterium
Lineage: Bacteria; Bacillati; Chloroflexota; Anaerolineae
Description: tRNA-Arg
Rfam family: tRNA
About the family: Transfer RNA (tRNA) molecules are approximately 80 nucleotides in length.
Source: RNAcentral